CAAGACACAAAAAAGGCAAAAAAAAGGGGGGGCAAAUAAUUGUAACCCCUGGUUUUUGUUUUUUGUUUGGUUUUUGUGUGGUGUCUUAUU
This 90-nucleotide non-coding RNA is filed under the name Eutreptiella gymnastica. Lineage: Eukaryota; Euglenozoa; Euglenophyceae; Eutreptiales; Eutreptiaceae. The record is from RNAcentral.